Molecule: long non-coding RNA, 519 nt
Organism: Mesocricetus auratus (golden hamster)
Lineage: Eukaryota; Metazoa; Chordata; Mammalia; Rodentia; Cricetidae
Exons: 4
Source: RefSeq, a predicted model, not a curated record
AGUCUCCGCCCGCUCCGCAGUCGCCUCUCCGCCACACAGUGCCCCCAGCAGUGCGCAGGGCUCUCGGCUCUGCGCCAGAAGCGCAUCCGCCAACACCCGCUCCAUUGCGCGGGGAGCUGAUCCUGUGCGCGUGCGCCGGCCACUCUAAGCACAAGCCCAGUGAAGAGCAUGACUUCAGGCUGGUCAGGAGCUGAUGAAGGCAGCCAGUUUGCUAUGAUAAUCAGACCCCAUUCACAGCUCCACUCCUGCCCCAGCUUCCAAGACCUUCAAUGUCUCCUCUGCAGGAGUCUUCUGAGUCACCAAGUGAUACCCAGAAAUAAUAGAGCCAACUGAGCAUGGAUCCAAACCUCUGAAACUAUGAGCCAAACUGCUUCUGAUGAAAAGGAUGCUGGUGUUCCACAGCAUGGAUUAUGUUGGUCUGAGUGGCACAUGGAACUAGAAUCCCAUUGGAAAAAUGACUUUUAAAUCUGGGGUGAGUUUGUGUUCUGGAAUACAUGGCAGUUGCAUAAAUAAAAAACA